Long non-coding RNA from Rhododendron vialii, 883 nucleotides. RefSeq lists it as uncharacterized. The record is from RefSeq and is a predicted model, not a curated record. The transcript is spliced from 2 exons. NCBI's taxonomy places the organism in Eukaryota, Viridiplantae, Streptophyta, Magnoliopsida, Ericales, Ericaceae.
UCUUAUGUCUGUCUGAAAUCUGUAAUUGAUAAGGAUUAGGGGAGUGUUGAAUUGUUUGUCAGCUUGAGUUUUCUCUUAUGCUAUUUCAUUCCAAGGCUCCUUAUUGAUCAAAUUAGGAGGUCUUAUGGCUCACUGAUUCUCAAUUGCUGCUGUUAUGUUACUGCUGCUGUGGAAAUCUGAAAUUCUGAUUUUUGUUGCUACUGCUAUUUGGCUUGAAUAUCUUAUGGUAGUCUAUUAUACCUCUCGGAGGCUUUCACGCUAAGAAGGAAAUGGAGAAUUGCUGUUGUCAAAUCACUUCAUGACACUCCAUUGCUGCAAUUACACCAUUCAACUUGUUACUGCUACACUACUGAAGCUUGGAAAUUUUAUAAUACAGGAGGUCUUACUUCUUCACAUCUAAUGAUCAGAAUCUCGUACGACGUUCGAGUGAUUCAUGCCUGUUCGGGGGUCUCAAUGAUACUGCAUUGCUGGAGGAGAUAAAUUGGCAAGGAAAAGACCAAGUUUGGAAAAUUCAUUACAGCAUUACAGUAGAUUGUGGACCUCUGUUUGACAUCUCCUCAGCUGUAUGUGUGAAAGCCCUGGAUUUUAAUGUCUCAAUGACAGUCACCAUUAUUUGCUGUUGCUGUUUUUCAGGAAAGGGCUCAUGAAUAUUACUAUGAUGGAAUGACCAAGGAGCAGUUUAAGAAAAUGCAGGAAUUCCUAGGUGGUCGGAAGAAACCUCUGGCCAAGCUCUAGAUUUGAUCGUUUGCGAAAUUUACCUUUCUUGUACAAUAAAUCUGACGGAUAAAUGUAAAGUCGAAGGAAUGAAAAUAAAUUUAUUGUUGUUGUGGCCCUAUUCUGCUAAAUGUUCAUGAUAUGCAAUGGUGCUGUGUUUUGCCAUCAA